AGUGAACGCUGGCGGUAGGCCUAACACAUGCAAGUCGAACGGCAGCACAGGAGAGCUUGCUCUCUGGGUGGCGAGUGGCGGACGGGUGAGGAAUACAUCGGAAUCUACUUUUUCGUGGGGGAUAACGUAGGGAAACUUACGCUAAUACCGCAUACGACCUACGGGUGAAAGCAGGGGACCUUCGGGCCUUGCGCGAUUGAAUGAGCCGAGGUCGGAUAAGCUAGUUGGCGGGGUAACGGCCCACCAAGGCGACGAGCCGUAGCUGGUCUGAGAGGAUGAUCAGCAACACUGGAACUGAGACACGGUCCAGACUCCUACGGGAGGCAGCAGUGGGGAAUAUUGGACAAUGGGCGCAAGCCUGAUCCAGCCAUACCGCGUGGGUGAAGAAGGCCUUCGGGUUGUAAAGCCCUUUUGUUGGGAAAGAAAUCCAGCUGGCUAAUACCCGGUUGGGAUGACGGUACCCAAAGAAUAAGCACCGGCUAACUUCGUGCCAGCAGCCGCCGUAA
This 506-nucleotide ribosomal RNA is filed under the name uncultured bacterium. RNAcentral describes it as "partial 16S ribosomal RNA". It matches the Rfam family "Bacterial small subunit ribosomal RNA", at positions 29 to 523 of the family's 1533-position model. The record is from RNAcentral.